CCCCCCUCCCCUCUCUUCCCUCUGCUAAAGGGUGGGUGUAUAUGUUACUUUUUAGUGGUUUUGGUCGCAGAUCUGGUGCGGUACUUAGGGACUCCUUUGGAUCUGCUUGUGCCAGUUUGCCGUCGAUGGUUGAUCAUGGCAUUGGUUGAUCUAUUUUCCUUUGUUGGGUGCGUGUUUAGGCUAUGGGCAUGGGCUUCAUCUAUCGAUUUGAAGGAGGUCACCCCGAGGGUAAAAUGUUAGGCUCCAGUCUGUGGCUUGCCUCUUUAGCUAUAAAAGAUUGAGAGGUCAUAAGGGCUAUGCCUUCCUGUUUUUCCCCAUCUGUCUUUAUGAUUCUCAACUUCCAUGGUCUAGCGCGUGCUAUUGUUAUGGUUCAAGGUUGUUUAUUUGUUUGUUGCGUGGAUCUUGGAGAGUUGUCUUGCUUAGGACUUUCUGAUGUAGGCGUUUCAGCCGUUUAUGCCUUCGGUUGUGGUUCUUCAACAUGCAGCAACCCCCUCUCGAUGAAUUGAAUAACCGGCGGCACUGAUCUUUCCUUAUAUAGGUUCUUGGGUCCGGUUGCUAUAUCCACUUCAACAAGAUUUUCCUGUGGGCUCUGAUUUUUAGUGGGCUAGAGUAGGUUCUUUGGAUAGGCUUCUUGUAAUUUGGUCAUGGGUUUCUUUGUAUUGGGCUUUUAAGG
This 673-nucleotide unclassified non-coding RNA is filed under the name Hevea brasiliensis (rubber tree). The record is from RNAcentral. Lineage: Eukaryota; Viridiplantae; Streptophyta; Magnoliopsida; Malpighiales; Euphorbiaceae.